Molecule: ribosomal RNA, 253 nt
Filed under: uncultured bacterium
Lineage: Bacteria
Description: partial 16S ribosomal RNA
Rfam family: Bacterial small subunit ribosomal RNA
Source: RNAcentral
UACGUAGGGUGCGAGCGUUAUUCGGAAUUACUGGGCGUAAAGCGCGCGCAGGCGGUUUUGUAAGUCAGAUGUGAAAUCCCCGGGCUCAGCCUGGGAACUGCGUUUGAAACUACAAGACUAGAAUAUGUCAGAGGGGGGUAGAAUUCCACGUGUAGCAGUGGAAUGCGUAGAGAUGUGGAGGAAUACCGAUGGCGAAGGCAGCCCCCUGGGAUAAUAUUGACGCUCAUGCACGAAAGCGUGGGGAGCAAACAGG